CGGGAAUGAAGGAGCCAGGAGCACCAGGAGCUGGGUGAGGUGAGCAGCUGAGGCAUUCCAGAGCAGAGCCAACCUUUGGAAUCCUUGGAUGAAUCAAAGGAAAAGCUGAAUAAGCUGGAAUUUGGAAGGAUUGUCUGUCGAGGGACGUCGGCAGCUCAGCUGGCUCCUCAAAAUUCCACUGCCAAGCUGCCAGGAGAAGCCCAGGAAUGGCGUUUGGGAUUCAGGGAAAAGCCAGCAAAGCUUCCCAAGGCAUCGAGCAG
This is a long non-coding RNA of Motacilla alba alba, 260 nucleotides long. RefSeq lists it as uncharacterized. The transcript has 3 exons. Lineage: Eukaryota; Metazoa; Chordata; Aves; Passeriformes; Motacillidae. The record is from RefSeq and is a predicted model, not a curated record.